UUAAUUGAAACCAAAAAGAGGUAUCUUAAUGUUAAUAAGAAAAAUGAAUUUAUAUUCCAAUUAAA
RNAcentral lists this transfer RNA (65 nucleotides) under unidentified. RNAcentral describes it as "Rhytidodus viridiflavus tRNA-Asn". The record is from RNAcentral.